CUCAUUAGACGGUGAAAGUCACUAGUGGGUCUCACUACUUCAUUUAGGAGGUCCACUUAUUAGCUUUAAUAAUUUUGAAAAUAAUUUUAAAUUUUGUAAAAUGUUAUCAUCAGAACCUAGUUUUCAUACAGACUAUACUUAUUAAAUAAAUAACAAAUAAUUUAAUCAACUUAUACUAUAAAUUUAUUUAUUUUUUUCCUUUGGUAGCAUAACUCAUUAGUUUUUCAUUAAAUAAUUUCAGAAAUAUCAACAUCAGUCAUUUCCUCUCCUAUAUAUACAACCCCUUUGGAACUCAACUAUUUACACAACAAAGAAGAACCAUUACUUUAAUUCCCUGUUUUUGGCUACCACCCAACCUAAAUACAUGGAGAAGGCUUCUCUCAAGAUCGUUUUCUUUGUCUUCCUCUUGCUCACUGCAUCUGGAGUUGAAGGAGGUUUUUUUUCAAGAUGUAACAAAACCGAGGACUGCAGCCAUGCUAUUUUGAUUUGUCCAGGUUCUACCAUAUGUGUGAAUCAUCAUUGCGUCUGCCCUUCUCCUAAACAAGUCGCCAACCUGCAAGGAGGUUCUUUUUUUAAAUGUAACAAAACUGAGGACUGCAGCCAUAUUAUGUCGAUUUGCCCAGGUUUUACCAUCUGUUGGAAUCAUCUAUGCGUCUGCCCUCCCUAAACAAGUCGCCAACCUGCAAGAGGCCGGACAAGAAGUGAAUUUAUAAGAUGAUAUAUAUAUAUAUAUAUAUAUAUAUAUAUAUAUAUAUAUAUAUAGUUCUUGUGCUGCUAUGGAAUAAAGGUUACUGUCAAACCUAUGAUGAAAUCAAUUAAUCAGUAGUAAAACAGGUGGUUUUACAAAAUUUCACUUUGAUAUUUUGUUAUAGAUCUCAUGAUGUUAAUUGUAUUUGAUCAUGGCUUUAAUUCCUAGUUC
Cornus florida is the source of this 919-nucleotide long non-coding RNA. RefSeq lists it as uncharacterized. NCBI's taxonomy places the organism in Eukaryota, Viridiplantae, Streptophyta, Magnoliopsida, Cornales, Cornaceae. The record is from RefSeq and is a predicted model, not a curated record. The transcript has 2 exons.